Molecule: long non-coding RNA, 3589 nt
Organism: Tympanuchus pallidicinctus (lesser prairie-chicken)
Lineage: Eukaryota; Metazoa; Chordata; Aves; Galliformes; Phasianidae
Exons: 4
Source: RefSeq, a predicted model, not a curated record
CUGGCCCACUUUGUUUCCUUGCCUCUAUUCUGAAGACCUGAAAUGAAUAGCAGUGAUGUCCUUGUUGUUUUUUAACAUUUAUGAUUAAAGAAACAGGCCUGUGCAAACUCUCCAGUCUUCAUGGUUUUGAGGACAGAGGCUUCUUGCUCAUUUGUUGUAGAGGAGGCUAUAAAACCACAAGAUAAAAAUACUUAACAGCCAACUAGCAUCUGCAACAUAAACAGGUUAAUUUCAGCUGAAGUUUCCUGAUCUAACUGGUCAUGUGGUUUCAUGGCUGCUCACUCUCAGAGAUGCAGUAAGAUCACACACCUGAACAAUGGCAAAGCUGCUCCUUUCAGCCACAGCAUCUCUGCGCACUAGCCAACAUUUUCAGGAAGCAUAAGUUUCAACAGUGCAUCUCCAGAGAUUGGCUCCUGCAGCACCACCUGCUCACCCUACCUCCUUCCAAGCAGGCAGCAGCAGUUGGAUUUGGGCCCCAAGGCUCUCUUACUUCGUUCUUGGUAUGGCUCAUGGUCCCAGCACAUGCUGAAGCUGUGCUCAGGGGGUGCUGUGGACGUGGUACUGGGGAACAAGCGUUUCCAGAUAUGUCCUCACAGUUUGCAGCAGUAUUCCUGAAUUCCUGUUUUGACUGUUGUCUACAGAUAUUGAUGAAAAGCCCUUUUCAUGACAAAGGCAGGAAGCUUUUAACAUGAAAACGGUCAAACUGUUGUCACAAUUCAAAGCAAAUAUGAGGCCUGGAUAGAAACACAAUGUAAACAUUCCCAGGAGAAGCUUCUUGAGACUUGUUAGGCAGAGCAAAGUUGGCACAGUAUCCCAUUAGCAAUGCUAAAAAUCAAAUAGUUUCUUAUUUGUUAUUUUUGCACUAUUUAAGUGACAUUCUAUUUGUUUUAAGAUUUAGUUGCUGACGCACAAGUCUCCUCUGUCCACUGAUUCACAUCAUAUGAGCACGCUGUGCAGUCACAAGUGUCUGCUUUGCUGAAUUGUUUUUGCAAAUGAAAAAUCAAUAAUUAAUCCAUAGCUGAGAUAGAGAACUCAAUCCCAUUACGAGAUUGCUGCCACUGUGAAGGUUUUCAAUUAUAUUUGUAUUAAAAGAGGAGGAGACUGAGGGCAUUUGCUGCUUCUGGUUUGGUCUACUGCUCCAGUUUUGUGGUUUUUUUUUUUUUCCUAAGGUGCCUAUCACCAGGCUAUCUCAGUAACAAUAAACUAGUUACUCAAAUGUUGUACUGAAUAGUGCUUUCAAGAUAACUCAAUGUAAUGAGAAUGAAACUUUCUGAUAAUGAUAAAAAUGUUUGUUCAAUGACUUUCUACCAUAAUUCCCAAGUGAACAAGAAGCCCAUGAGCUCAUGAACUGUGUUUAGUAAUUCAGUAACAUCUCGUACCUGAAAAAGGCAAAUUGCUGUCCAACUGAUUUAUAUUAACUCACCUGCUGGAGGUAUCGCUCUGAGGGGUGGGAAUGUACAAAUGCUCAGAGUAAAACUAACAAAGUUAGAAGAUUAAAGGUAAAGCAAACAAUUUUUAAUUACAAACUCUCUCAGUAUUCGCAAGAUACUGUAGAAGGAAUGAAAGUAGGACAGAAUUGGCAAGCGUGUUUAUUUUUUCGUUUGCUUACUUUACUUUAUUUAACCUGUUGCUGUCACCAUGGCAGUUGUUAUCUCCUAAAGAAUAGAGAGCACAUAGCCACAACUUUUGGUUCUUUUCUCAAGUAUACAACAAAGAGGCUAUCCAGAAAACUAGCUCCUGCUAUGGUGAAUCUAUUGAGGGUGUGAAAGAUUUCAGUUUAAGGCUUGGGAUUUUCUGCAGUAUAUUACUCUGGUUGCAUAGUCAUUAGCAUUUGCUGGGUUGUGUUCCCACUUACAGUUUCUUCAGGGGCAAAUCUGAUUCUCCUGUUCUUUUUCUGCCUGCCAUACAGAUUGCUGCCAUGGUUGUGAUCUAACUCAGACUGGUGAAACGAUCCACUUAGAAAAACUCUUUUAAAGAGUUUUGGUGAUAUAUGUAAUAACUUGGAGUUAUCUGUGGCUCUGUCUUGGUUUGCUCAGGCUCAGCACAAGCACGCUAAUGGCAGCUUCAACAGUGAUGAGAUCAUAAGCUUGGUGCAUGCUUCAUGGUCAGCUUUAGGUCUGAUCCCCAAUACACAGAGUCCAAUGGGACCAGAAGCAAUGCUCACUCUAGGACUCUUUAUGUGUUCAGGAACACAGUGCAGGGCAGAUCUCUGGGAAUAUCGCCACAGAGCUGUUGCAUUAGUUUAGCCUGUCGUUGUGUUUCCCCUAUUACUUCAUAAAUUUGCAACAGAAGCAGAAGUUGUAAAACUCUUCAGCUAUUGGUAGCGCUUGAUUGCUUUUUAAUAUGCUGCAGUUGCUUCUCUCUGGACUGGUUACACAGCCUGUGCUUUUGAAAAAACAAUAUGAGCUGAAAAUAUAGCAAGAUGUGCACAGAAGUAAAUGAAAGAAAAAGAAUAACGGCUUCAAGGCAAAAAUUCUCAAAGAUUCUUUAUACCAGAACAAGUUGAAGCUCGUUUCCCCCACAAGCUCUACUGUGAGGAAAAUUCAGCUGCUCAAAUAUUCACAAAGUAAAAUCAAAGCAAUUAUAAAUAUAUUAAAUUUCUUGCAUUUUGAGUUGAUGCUGGUGAAAAAUUGAGGGGAAACUGUGGGAACACGUCAUGUUUUCUACAGGAUUUUUCCUACACUGGAGGCAACAUAGACUUAUUCUUUAAGCAGUUACUCUUUAUUCCUCCUUAUGAGUUAAACAUUUUGUGGUUGGCUUCCUUCAGAGAUUUUUUUUUUUUUUAAAUGUAAGUAAGAAUAUUACUAGCUGGAUGGUUUCUGAGUUGCAAGCCUCCAGCUGCAGCAUAGGAGUUUUCAGGAGAACACGUCUCUGAAGAGCAAAAAGUUGGCCGUAGUUCCUCAAAGAAUCACUUCAGAAAUGUGUGAGUAGCACCACUCAGCUGCUUGCUGAAUCUUAGUCACUUGUGCCUUGGCUUUUGCAAUAGCCACGUGAAAAAGAAAGGGUUAUUUAUUAAGAGCAGAACAGUUCCCUUUUAGUUCUGUAGCAAUCAUGUCUCUUUUUUUCCAGUCCAUGGAAAGUGUUAUCUCAGGCAGCUUUGUGCAGGAAGUUCUGUUUAUCACUUCCUCACAGUUGCAGUUUGUCUAGGACUUAAAUAUAUGAUAUCAGAUUGCAUCAAAAUGUGGGCCUUUGUGUGCUUAACUCAUCAAAGGAGUGGACCCUCAGGACUUGAUAUCACUUCGCUGCAUAUGCAGUCAUGUAACAAAACAAAGUCUAUCUAAACAGGACAGAGCUAUUUCUGUUGGUAGUGUAGCAAAGCAAGCAGAAUUGGUGUAGUUUCAGGUAUCUGCACUGUUUCACUUCUUGUUUUUAAAUUUAUCACUUUUUUAAAAAGUGACAUGGUUUGCCUGUUUUUACUAUGUAAACUAUGUUGAAAAACCAAAAUAUUACUUGUUUUUUUUUUUUAAUUGUACACUAUAAGCCAAACUCAAAAGAGAUUCACUUGGUAGAAGUUAGUGCUAUGCAUGCUUGCAUUGCAAAAACACCCUUUAGAGCUUUGAAUUCGUAUGUUUUAGUCGACUUGAGAAAA